This 3291-nucleotide long non-coding RNA is filed under the name Homo sapiens (human). RNAcentral describes it as "HSALNT0312924". The record is from RNAcentral. Lineage: Eukaryota; Metazoa; Chordata; Mammalia; Primates; Hominidae.
AACUGCUCUAUGAAAAGAAAGGUUAAACUCUGUGAGUUGAACGCACACAUCACAAAGUAGUUUCUGAGAAUGAUACUGUCUAGUUUUUAUACGGAGAUAUUUCCUUUCCUUCCAUUGGCGUCAAAGCGCUAGAAUUCUCCACUUGCAAAUUCCACAAAAAGAGUGUUUCCAAUCUGCUCUGUCUAAAGGAAGGUUCAACUCUGUGAGUUGAAUACACACACACAAAGAAGCUACUGAGAAUUCUUUUGUCAAGAAUUAUAAGAAGAAAUCCCGUUUCCAACGAAGGCCUCAAAGAGUUCCAAAUAUCCACUUGCACACUGUACAAACUAAGUCUUUCCAAACUGCUCUAUGCAAAGAAAUGUUCAACUCUGUGAGUUUAAUGCACACAUCACAAAGCAGUUUCUGAGAAUGAUUCCGUCUAGUUUUUAUACGAACAUAGCCUUUUCUACCAUUGGCCUCAAGGCUCUUGAAAUCUCCACCUGAAAAUUCCGCAAAAAGCGUGUUUCCAAUCCGCUCUGUCUAAAGGAAGUUUCAAAUCUCUGAGUUGAAUACAUACAUCCCAAAAGAAGUUACUGCGAAUUCUUCUGUCUAGCAUUAUGUGAAGAAAUCCCGUUUCCAACGAAAGCCUCCAAGAGGUCCAAAUAUCCAGUUGCAGAAUUUACAAACUGACUGUUUCCAAACUCAUCUAUGAAAAGAAAGGUUAAACUCUGUGAGUUGAAUGCACAUAUCACAAAGUAGUUCCUGAGAAUGAUUCUGUCUAGUUUUUAUACGAAGAUAUUUCCUUUUCCACCAAUGGCCUCAAAGUGCUUGAAAUCUCCCCUUGCAAAUUCCACAGAAAAGUGUUUCAAAUCUGCACUGUCUAAAGGAAGGUUCAACCCUGUGAGUUGAAUACACACACACAGAAAAAAAUUCACUGAGAAUUCUAUUGUCUAUCAUUACACGAAGAAAUCCCGUUUACUACGAAGGCCUCAAAGAGGUCCAAAUAUCCAGCUGCAGACAUUACAAACUGAGUGUUUCCAAAGUGCUCUAUGAAAAGAAGUGUUAAACACUGUGAGUUCAAUGCACACAUCCCAAAGCAGUUUCUGAGAAUGAUUCCGUCUAUUUUUUCUACGAAGAUAUUUCCUUUUCUACCGUUGGCCUCAAAGCGCCUGAAAUCUCCACUUGCAAAUUCCACGAAAAGAGAGUUUCAAAUCUGCUCUGUCUAAAGGAAGGUUCCACUCUGUGAGUUGAAUACACACCACAAAAAGAAGUUACUGAGAAUUCUUCUGUCUAGCAUUAUAUGAAAAAUCCCGUUUCCAACGAAGGCCACAAAGAGGUCCAAAUAUCCACUUGCAGAUUCUGCAAAAAGAGUGUUUCCAAACUGCUCUAUGAAAAGAAACGUUAAACUCUGUGAGUUGAACGCAAACAUCACAAAGUAGUUUCUGAGAAUGACUCCGUCUAGUUUUUAUACGAAGAUAUUUCCUUUUCUACCGUUGGCCUCAAAGCGCUUGAAGUCUCCCCCUGAAAAUUCCACAAAAAGUGUUUCCAAUCUGCUCCGCCUAAAGGAAGCUUCAACUCUGUGAGUUGAAUACCCACAACACAAAGAAGUUACUGAGAAUUCUUCUGUCUCGCAUUAUAGGAAGAAAUCCCGUUUCCAACGAAGGCCUCAAAUACAUCCACAUAUCCAGUUGCUGACUUUACAAACUGAGUGUUUCCAAACUGCUCUAUGAAAAGAAAGGUUAAACACUGUGAGUUGAACACACACGUACCAAAGUAGUUUCUGAGAAUGAUUCUGUCUAGUUUGCAUACAAAGAUAUUUCCUUUUCUACCACUGGCCUCAAAGCUUUGAAAUCUCCACUUGCAAAUUCCACAAAAGAGAGUUCAAAUCUGCUGUUUCUAAAGGAAAGUUCAACUCUGAGAGUUGAAUACACACCAGAAAAAGCAGUUACUGAGAAGUCUUCUGUCUAGCAUUAUAUGAAGAAAUCCCAUUUCCAAAGAAGACUUCAAACAGGUCCAAAUAUCCACUUGCAGAUUCUGCAAAAAGAGUGUUUUGAAACAACUGUAUGAAAAGAAAGGUUAAACACUGUGAGUUGAACGCACCCAUUGCAAAGCAUUUUCUGAGAAUGAUUCCGUCUAAUUAUUAUAUGAAGGUAUUUCCUUUUCUAUCAUGGGCCUCAAAGCGCUUGAUACCUCCACCUGAAAAUUCCACAAAAAGAGUGUUUCCAAUCUACUCUGUCUAAAGGAACGUUCAACUCUGUGAGUUGAAUACACACACACAGAAAGAAUUCACUGAGAAUUCUUCUGUCUGGCAUUACAUGAAGAAAUCCCGUUUCCAACGAAGGCCUCAAAGAGGUCCAAAUAUCCACUUGCAGAUUCUGCAAAAAGAGUGUUUCAAAACCGCUCUAUUAAAAGGAAUGUUGAACUCUGUGAGUUGAAUGCAAACAUCACAACUCAGUUUCUGAGAAUGCUUCUGACUAGAUUUUAUGGUAAGAUAUUUCCUUUUCUACCGUAGGCUUCAAUGCCCUCUAAAUACACCCUUGCAAAUUCUACAAAGAGACUGUUUAAUAACUGCUCUAUAGGAAGAAAGGUUGAACUCUGUGAGUUGAAUGCAGAGAUCACAACGUGGUUUCUGCGAAUGAUUCUUUGUAGUUUUUACAUGAAGAUAUUUCGUUGUCUACCGUAGGCUUCAAAGCACUCAAAGUAUUCACUUGGAACUUUUACAAAAAGAGUGUUAGAAAACUGCUCUUUCCAAAGUAAGGUUCAACUCUGUGAGUUGAAUGCACACAUAACAAACAAGAAGUUUCUGAGAAUCCUUCUGUCCUGGUUUAUAUGAAAAAAUCCCGUUUCCAACGAAGGCCUCAAAGACGUUUAAAUAUCCACUUGCAGACUUCACAAACAGAGUGUUUCCAAACUGCUCUAUGAAAAGAAAGGUUAAACUCUGUGAGUUGAACGCACACAUCACAAAGUAGUUUCUGAGAAUGAUACUGUCUAGUUUUUAUACGGAGAUAUUUCCUUUCCUUCCAUUGGCGUCAAAGCGCUAGAAUUCUCCACUUGCAAAUUCCACAAAAAGAGUGUUUCCAAUCUGCUCUGUCUAAAGGAAGGUUCAACUCUGUGAGUUGAAUACACACACACAAAGAAGCUACUGAGAAUUCUUUUGUCAAGAAUUAUAAGAAGAAAUCCCGUUUCCAACGAAGGCCUCAAAGAGUUCCAAAUAUCCACUUGCACACUGUACAAACUAAGUCUUUCCAAACUGCUCUAUGCAAAGAAAUGUUCAACUCUGUGAGUUUAAUGCACACAUCACAAAGCAGUUUC